AAGACUUUAAGUUAUAUAAAYUAUUAUCCUUCAAAGUUAAAAAAAAAAAAUUUUAAGUCUUA
RNAcentral lists this transfer RNA (62 nucleotides) under Haania sp. JZ-2017. RNAcentral describes it as "tRNA-Trp". The record is from RNAcentral. Lineage: Eukaryota; Metazoa; Arthropoda; Insecta; Mantodea; Haaniidae.